This 504-nucleotide ribosomal RNA is filed under the name Starmerella bacillaris. Its description in RNAcentral is "partial large subunit ribosomal RNA". It matches the Rfam family "Eukaryotic large subunit ribosomal RNA", at positions 49 to 656 of the family's 3401-position model. Lineage: Eukaryota; Fungi; Ascomycota; Dipodascomycetes; Dipodascales; Trichomonascaceae. The record is from RNAcentral.
AGCGGAGGAAAAGAAACCAACAGGGAUUGCCCUAGUAACGGCGAGUGAACAGGCAAGAGCUCAGAUUUGAAAGGCACUUUUGUGCCGUUGUAUUCUGAAGUUAGGGUCCUGAGAAACGAUGCUUAAGUCUUCUGGAAAGGAGCGCCAUGGAGGGUGAUAGCCCCGUCUAGCAUUGACCUCAUAUAGGAUCUUAACAUGGAGUCGAGUUGUUUGGGAAUGCAGCUCAAAUGGGUGGUAUGCUCCAUCUAAAGCUAAAUAUCUGCGAGAGACCGAUAGUAAACAAGUACUGUGAGGGAAAGAUGAAAAGAACUUUGAAAAGAGAGUGAAAAAGUACGUGAAAUUGUUGAAAUGGAAGGGUAGGCCGCUAACCAUGUAGAGCCGUGUUUGGGGGGAAGAUAAAUGCUGUAGAAUGUAGCUCCUCGGAGUAUUAUAGAUGCAGUUCAUAUUCCCACCCGAGCGCGAGGAUCUCAGGUUCUACUAAAUGGUGGUCUACCACCCGUCUUG